CCCCCAGAUGGGAAUUUCACAGGAACUGCAGAUUACUGCCUCUGCUCAGCCCCCCAUUCAAGAGAGGAUUUGGAUACCUUGUGAGAGUUGGAUGGCUUGUGAGGUAAACAGAUCAUGUAAGAGCUUUUGCUGCUGACAGCUGUUCUGUAAAGGUGUGAAAAUCUUGAUGCUCUGCAUUAGCUGGAUAGAAAGGAUGUACCCAAAUUGACUACAUUACUCUGUGCUUGAAGAGCAAAGGCAAGAUUUCUUCUUCAACACUGCAUUGCCAGUCCUGGUUGUCAGUGGUGCCAGUUCUCCUUCACCCAUGGGAAGAAGAGACAGGGAGAAGGACCAAAGUUUUGCAAAACUACAAGGAUUCACUACAGCCUCCAGUGGGGAUGGUGGUAUGUGGGUUGGCCUGGCUAGAAUCAAUUACCAUAGCUCCAGUAUCACAAGGAGCAUGGGAAGAGAAAAACUGGCCUUAAAAACCAGUCGCACAAAGAAGCAAAUCUGUAGAAGAC
Molecule: long non-coding RNA, 500 nt
Organism: Manacus vitellinus (golden-collared manakin)
Lineage: Eukaryota; Metazoa; Chordata; Aves; Passeriformes; Pipridae
Exons: 3
Source: RefSeq, a predicted model, not a curated record